UGGGGAAUAUUGCACAAUGGGGGAGACCCUGAUGCAGCGAUGCCGCGUGGAGGAAGAAGGUUUUCGGAUUGUAAACUCCUGUCGUAAGGGAAGAAAAAGGACGGUACCUUACAAGAAAGCUCCGGCUAACUACGUGCCAGCAGCCGCGGUAAUACGUAGGGAGCGAGCGUUGUCCGGAAUUACUGGGUGUAAAGGGAGCGUAGGCGGGAUUGCAAGUCAGAUGUGAAAACUAUGGGCUUAACCUAUAGACUGCAUUUGAAACUGUAGUUCUUGAGUGAAGUAGAGGUAAGCGGAAUUCCUAGUGUAGCGGUGAAAUGCGUAGAUAUUAGGAGGAACAUCGGUGGCGAAGGCGGCUUACUGGGCUUUUACUGACGCUGAGGCUCGAAAGCGUGGGGAGCAAACAGGAUUAGAUACC
RNAcentral lists this ribosomal RNA (415 nucleotides) under uncultured bacterium. Its description in RNAcentral is "bacterial SSU rRNA". It matches the Rfam family "Bacterial small subunit ribosomal RNA", at positions 355 to 786 of the family's 1533-position model. The record is from RNAcentral.